AUUCUAAGGCUCUCUAUGUUGCCACACCAAUCCCCGGACCUCAGCUCCUCUGAAUGCCAGAGUGACAGACUUGCCAGGAAUCUGCUGGACUUACAUGUGCGGAGGUGUGACAAGAUAAAGAGCAGUUGCACAUUAUGCCCAAGAUGUUCUUCAGUGAAGAUGGACCAAAACUGCACAUGAACGCAGAGAGAAGGCUCGCUGGGAAUUCCAAAGAUGCCACCUCGAGAAAAAGGCCACGGUCCAUGAAAAACUCCCUUGGAGCUGGGUUGGCAUCAUCUGAAGGAGCAGUGGGACUUCUGAGGAGAGACUAGAGGGUCCACUCAAUCAGGGUAGAAGGCCCCGGGAGCUGGGUCCUCUCAGCAGAAGCACCUUACAGGGAUGAUCUGAGGGGGCCUCAGGGUUGCAUUCAGAACUGAAGAAGAAAGAGACUGAAAGCACCAAGGAGUGGGAGAAAUGGCCCCAGGGUGGACGGGCCUCCACUGUGGGCAGCAGGAAGGAAGCCAGGAGGCAUCCUGAGAGAGGACCAGAGACUACUUUCAAAUGUACAGAACCCUACCCUUCUGCCCCACUCUUAAUUUCCCCCAUCAUCCCAGAUGCAAAACAUCUUAUAAAAAUAUUAUAUAAAGCAUAUAAUAUAGUUAUAUAAUUUGUAGUUAUAUAAUAAGAAUAUAGUUAUGAACUAUUAAUUAAUAUAAUAAAAAACCUGUAGAUUAUAAUUCCCAACCUAUUUUACUGCACCCAUGUCAAUUUCAUUGCAACAUUCACAGAACUGAAAACUCGGGACUUAGUGGAUUAUCAUAAAGGAGACACCAACCCAGGAUAAACCAGGUCCAGGAUAAACGUGGUCCAGCCUGGGCAAGCCUGAGCCUGCCUUUAACAGGUUGUGACAACUACAAUUGGGGCAGGAGAUGGGGCAGGAGCUGAUGGGUGCCUUUGACACCACAAGUUUAGUUCAAAUUUUCAAUUUUAGAAACAGGAACUAUUUGAGAUCGUCUGUCUUUAGAAAUAUUUUCAAAUUCAAAAUAAUAAAUUUAAAAUCACUUGG
Molecule: long non-coding RNA, 1045 nt
Organism: Marmota flaviventris (yellow-bellied marmot)
Lineage: Eukaryota; Metazoa; Chordata; Mammalia; Rodentia; Sciuridae
Source: RefSeq, a predicted model, not a curated record